ACAAGCGGUGGAGUAUGUGGUUAAUUCGAUGCAACGCGAAGAACCUUACCUGGUCUUGACAUCCCGGAGACCCUUAGGAAACUAGGGGGUGCUUCCAUCUGGAAGAAUCUGGAGACAGGUGCUGCAUGGCUGUCGUCAGCUCGUGUCGUGAGAUGUUGGGUUAAGUCCCGCAACGAGCGCAACCCUUGCCUUUAGUUGCCAGCAGUUCGGCUGGGCACUCUAAAGGGACUGCCGGUGUUAAACCGGAGGAAGGUGGGGAUGACGUCAAGUCCUCAUGGCCUUUAUGACCAGGGCUACACACGUACUACAAUGGCCGAUACAAAGGGCAGCGACACUGCGAGGUGAAGCCAAUCCCGUAAAAUCGGUCUCAGUCCGGAUUGGAGUCUGAAACUCGACUUCAUGAAGUUGGAAUCGCUAGUAAUCGCGCAUCAGCAUGGCGCGGUGAAUACGUUCCCGGGCCUU
Molecule: ribosomal RNA, 462 nt
Filed under: uncultured Desulfobulbus sp.
Lineage: Bacteria; Pseudomonadati; Thermodesulfobacteriota; Desulfobulbia; Desulfobulbales; Desulfobulbaceae
Description: bacterial SSU rRNA
Rfam family: Bacterial small subunit ribosomal RNA
Source: RNAcentral